This 1554-nucleotide long non-coding RNA is filed under the name Populus trichocarpa (black cottonwood). RNAcentral's name for it is "long non-coding RNA (PTRI_LNC003229)". The record is from RNAcentral. Lineage: Eukaryota; Viridiplantae; Streptophyta; Magnoliopsida; Malpighiales; Salicaceae.
AUAUAUGUGGACAUUUACUGCUGGAAGUUUGAAGUUUGACGAGUCUAAAACAGCAUGUAAUCAUACUUCUUACUAAUGAAUUCAGGUCAAAGAGUUCCACCUGGUAAAAUGGUCGAACUAAUGGGAUUUGUCAAGCAGAUGAAGUAACCUUGUCUCGGAUUAUGCAUCAGUGUCCAACGACAGGUGAAUUAAUAAUUUGCUAUGAACUUGAUGAAUAUUGAGACUUGGACAGGAUUUGCAUUGAAUAGGAGAGUUAAAGGGCUCAAGCUAGACUUGACUCCACUUUGGCGAGGCAUCAGCUGGCCUUACACUCUUACAGCUCGGUUUCUUUGUAAUCAGUCCACAUCCCGUAAGAGCUUCUCCAGUUGACUGGUAUGCAAGAGAGACCAAGAGAAGUUGUAGACUAAAUUUUUAUCUAGUUGUCCAUUUUUUGAGAUGCUAUGUUCAAGAAGCUCACCAAUCUUGGCUGACUUCUGGCCCUUCAUUGAAGCUGAAACGCCAGGAGAUACAAAGCUUGUUCCACUUUGGAAUGGAUUGAGGUAUCUGCGAUAAAUCUUGUUUCAUUUGAAAAUUGGAGAAAAGACAAACACUCUUCUUCGCAAACAUUGCCAGCAUUUGCAGAGCAUCUUUUGAGGACUGGUAUGGUGGCUUUUCCUCUACUAUCUCUAGUUAUGUCCCACAAUGGUAGAAUAUCUUACAUUAAUAUUCACUCCAACAUUAUGUUUAUGUAAAAACACAUUAAGUUCAGUUUUAUUUUUUAUCUUUCACAAUUUUCUUUCAAAUAAUAUUUAAUUUCAUUGUUGAUUUGUCCAGGACUAUAUAUAAACACCAGCUAUGGCGCCUGUCCAAAGUUUCGUAAUCCCAGACAAUCAUUCUCCCAUUAUCAAUAAAAUUCUCUUUUUCUUCAAUUAUCGUAGUUAUCAUUUUUAUAAAUGAGGUUGAGUUGGUCAAAUCCAACUUUUUUUUAUAUUGAAACAACUUUUUUUUUAUUAAUUUAGGCUAGCAUGACGACCUGUGACACAUUAACGCAAGAAAUGUACAGGGAGGAUUGUGGCACUCAAAAUAUGAUGAAGAUUUCAUAUUAGCCAUAAACUUCCGAGAAAUUUUGUUGAAGAGAAUGUUUACAUUUUCCACCCAAAAAGAAAAAUUGUAUUAUAAUAAUUUUGACACCCCAUUUCUAAAAUUCUAAUUCCAGCCCCUGGAAAUGUAUAAAACUGCCGUCUUUUCACUUUGUUUAUUUGUGAAAAAAUAUUAUUUAUAAUGAAGAAUUUAUUGCAUAAGCAUGACAUUGGUGUGAUGGGGUGCGAGCUAUAACUAUCUCGUUUAAAGCAGUGCUGAAACUGAGAGUGUCCCUGUAGAACGUGAUGCCUGAAAGAGAUUGUUCAACCCGUACUUGUUUGGAAUCUCCCCCUCUCCCACCCUAAGCUAGAGUGACACUAGGCUUGAUGUUAUCACUUAGAUCUGGUUUGUUGUAAGCGGUAUAAUCAUGUUUUUUAUAAAUUUUAAUUUUUUUUUAUGUUUUUAGAUUGUUAUAAUAUAUUAAUGUUAAAAAUA